Molecule: ribosomal RNA, 165 nt
Filed under: Neochloris aquatica
Lineage: Eukaryota; Viridiplantae; Chlorophyta; Chlorophyceae; Sphaeropleales; Neochloridaceae
Description: partial 5.8S ribosomal RNA
Rfam family: 5.8S ribosomal RNA
About the family: 5.8S ribosomal RNA (5.8S rRNA) is a component of the large subunit of the eukaryotic ribosome. It is transcribed by RNA polymerase I as part of the 45S precursor that also contains 18S and 28S rRNA. Functionally, it is thought that 5.8S rRNA may be involved in ribosome translocation.
Source: RNAcentral
CAACUCUCAACAACGGAUAUCUUGGCUCUCGCAACGAUGAAGAACGCAGCGAAAUGCGAUACGUAGUGUGAAUUGCAGAAUUCCGUGAACCAUCGAAUCUUUGAACGCAUAUUGCACUCGCGGCUUCGGCCAAGAGUAUGUCUGCCUCAGCGUCGGUUUGAACCC